ACUCAAAGGAAUUGACGGGGGCCCGCACAAGCAGUGGAGUAUGUGGUUUAAUUCGACGCAACGCGAAGAACCUUACCAAGUCUUGACAUCCCUUGACGAUGCUGGAAACAGUAUUUCUCUUCGGAGCAAGGAGACAGGUGGUGCAUGGUUGUCGUCAGCUCGUGUCGUGAGAUGUUGGGUUAAGUCCCGCAACGAGCGCAACCCUUAUGGUCAGUUACUACGCAAGAGGACUCUGGCCAGACUGCCGUUGACAAAACGGAGGAAGGUGGGGAUGACGUCAAAUCAUCAUGCCCUUUAUGACUUGGGCUACACACGUACUACAAUGGCGUUAAACAAAGAGAAGCAAGACCGCGAGGUGGAGCAAAACUCAGAAACAACGUCCCAGUUCGGACUGCAGGCUGCAACUCGCCUGCACGAAGUCGGAAUUGCUAGUAAUCGUGGAUCAGCAUGCCACGGUGAAUACGUUCCCGGGCCUUGCACACACCGCCCGU
RNAcentral lists this ribosomal RNA (491 nucleotides) under uncultured bacterium. Its description in RNAcentral is "bacterial SSU rRNA". It matches the Rfam family "Bacterial small subunit ribosomal RNA", at positions 899 to 1397 of the family's 1533-position model. The record is from RNAcentral.